GCGUGAGGGAAGACGGCCUUUGGGUUGUAAACCUCUUUUCUCAAGGAAGAACAAAUGACGGUACCUGAGGAAUCAGCAUCGCUAACUCCCUGCCAGCAGCCGCGGUAAUACGGAGGAUGCAAGCGUUAUCCGGAAUCAUUGGGCGUAAAGCGUCCGCAGGUGGCUAAUCAAGUCUGCUGUCAAAGGUCAGGGCUUAACCCUGGAAAGGCAGUGGAAACUGAAGGGCUAGAGUACGAUAGGGGCAGAGGGAAUUCCCGGUGUAGCGGUGAAAUGCGUAGAUAUCGGGAAGAGCAUCGGUGGCGAAAGCGCUCUGCUGGGUCGUAACUGACACUGAGGGACGAAAGCUAGGGGAGCGAAUGGGAUUAGAUACCCCUGUA
RNAcentral lists this ribosomal RNA (377 nucleotides) under uncultured cyanobacterium. RNAcentral describes it as "bacterial SSU rRNA". It matches the Rfam family "Bacterial small subunit ribosomal RNA", at positions 399 to 792 of the family's 1533-position model. The record is from RNAcentral. Lineage: Bacteria; Bacillati; Cyanobacteriota.